AUGUUACCAGUGUUACAGGUGCUGUGGAGUGGGAAGGGGCUGCAUGUGAAACUGAGCUGUGAAAUGGGGAAGGACACCCUUUUGUAGACCCUGUUCGUACUGUCCACUCUUACAAGUGUGGCUGAUUUUUCUCCCUGGUGCCUCCUUCUCCUCCCCUCCCCCGUUUUUGCCUCCCCCCCCUUUUCAUCAUCGCCAUCUGGGUCCUCCUGCUUGGCACCCAACCAAGUAGAUGCCGCCACACUUGGCAGUGUUGCACUGGCAUGUGACCAGUGACUCAGAUUCUGGCACUGCGGCAAACCCAAAGCCUCCAAACUUGCUCACGAUACCGCUUGGCGGCCAUGAGGGAAGAGGGGUCAUGUGCAUAGAAGUGCCAGGCGCUGGGUGGAGCUCCAUGGUGGGAAGUGGCGUGUGAAGCUGCCCUUCACAGAUGGAUGGAAGCCAGUAUUCACUAGAACAUCUCUCCUCCACUCUUCUCCAAACAACUCCUCCCUUCCCUAAUUCUGAGAAGGGGCUUAGAUGGCGCUACACUGGUUUUGAGCAGCUAUGCAAAGGGAUCUAGAGCAAGGAGGGAGAAGGACACCAUUUACAGCCACCGCUGGAACAGUGGGUGUGUACUUCUCUGGGCAGUUAGGACAGAAAAAGACUGGAGUGUGAAAAGGCCUGGAGAGACACUUGGCAGCUAUGCUGCCCCUCAGCCAGUACCAGAGAGAGUGAAGGAGAGACCUUCAAGCUUUGCUGGCAAAGGUCGCUAGCCACCCAUCUGUAAGAGCUGAAGGAAAGCUUGGCUUCUGGUAAAGUCAAAGGCUCUCA
Molecule: long non-coding RNA, 810 nt
Organism: Rattus norvegicus (Norway rat)
Lineage: Eukaryota; Metazoa; Chordata; Mammalia; Rodentia; Muridae
Source: RefSeq, a predicted model, not a curated record